Molecule: ribosomal RNA, 383 nt
Filed under: uncultured eukaryote
Lineage: Eukaryota
Description: partial 18S ribosomal RNA
Rfam family: Eukaryotic small subunit ribosomal RNA
Source: RNAcentral
CAAUAGCGUAUAUUAAAGUUGUUGCAGUUAAAGAGCUCGUAGUUGGAUUUCUGGUGGGAGCGAUCGGUCUGGCGCUUAGCGCGAGUACUUGCAUCGUCUCCGGCCAUCCUUGGGGAGAGUCUGUCUGGCAUUAAGUUGUCGGGCAGAGGAUCCUCAUCGUUUACUGUGAAAAAAUUAGAGUGUUCAAAGCAGGCUUAUGCCGUUGAAUAUAUUAGCAUGGAAUAAUAAGAUAGGACUUUGGUACUAUUUUGUUGGUUUGCGCACCAAAGUAAUGAUUAAUAGGGACAGUUGGGGGUAUUCGUAUUCCGUUGUCAGAGGUGAAAUUCUUGGAUUUACGGAAGACGAACUACUGCGAAAGCAUUUACCAAGGAUGUUUUCAUUAA